UAGAUGGGAUUAUAGCAUGGCAAAAUGAGGAAACCACUGACAAGUGAAUAGUUUGCACAAUGGAAGACCACCUUGACCAUCUCAUGACUUUAUACAGGAAUCAGGUGGGUAAGUGUUCCUUUAAAGUGAUUUUGUCGUAGAAGAGUCAUCUGAAAUGACUCUCGUGAUGGAGGAAUUCAGCAUAUUUUUAACUUGUCUAACCAGUCGGCAAUUUCUGUCUACAGUUCUAAAUCAUUACUUCUCUUUAUUAUUUCUAGAUCUUAUGAAAUAAUGGACAUGUUUUGGAGGAUGGGAGAGGUAAUAUGUGUCAGAAGAAUAAAUACCACUAUAUCAGAUAUAUGUAUUACUAUGUGUAUCAGAAGAAUGCAUAUUAUUUCUCUCAUCUUUCAAAACAUGUUCCAUUCCUUCAUAAUAUCUAAAAAUGAUAUAACAUUAGAAAAUUGGUGAAAGGUUUUCCUAUUGACCUACUUAUAAAUGGUUUAUUUAUAUAUUCAGGGUAAUUACUUGUGCUUAAAACUGUUUUCAAGACAAAUUAGAACUGUGCCAUUGUCCAUAUAAAAGAAGGUGCUUCUUUUUAAUUAAUUUCUAUUCAUAAAUAAUUCUAAAAAUUAUUUCACUGAACAUUCAAGAAUAUAAAAAGAAUACUGUAGUAAACCAGCUGGUGGGUAGGGCAAUGAGGAUAAACUCCGGCAAAAGAACAUAAGUUAGGAAAUUUGUAACAUAAACUUAGGUUAUACGUCUGAAUUACCCUAGAUAGUUAGUCUAUGGAAUACAAGACUGUAUACAGCCUCAGCUAGAAGCACAUUUAUUAAGCAAACAUUAUGAAAGAGAUGCUGAAAUAAUUAAUCAGAUAGGAAUUGGGUAUAAUAUUUCUUUGGGAAUGUUCUCCAAUACUUGGGAGUCAAAAUAACAGGUAAUCCUCACUUCCAUUCUUUGUCUUCUCAAUAUGCAUCCCUGUAUCUUGCAAGGUAUUUAGCAAACUAAAGUACAUUUACCAGCGUCCUCACACCUUUAAUGAGGCAAGGUAGCCAAUUUUUGGAUGAUGACAUGUUAACAUAAGUAAUGUAUGCAGCAUCUAAAAGAAAUGUGUGUGACCUUUUACCCCU
Cebus imitator (Panamanian white-faced capuchin) is the source of this 1106-nucleotide long non-coding RNA. RefSeq lists it as uncharacterized. NCBI's taxonomy places the organism in Eukaryota, Metazoa, Chordata, Mammalia, Primates, Cebidae. The record is from RefSeq and is a predicted model, not a curated record. The transcript has 3 exons.